AGUAGGGAAUAUUGCACAAUGGGCGAAAGCCUGAUGCAGCAACGCCGCGUGUGCGAUGAAGGCCUUCGGGUCGUAAAGCACUUUUCGGGAGGAUGAGAAAGGACAGUACUCCCGGAAUAAGUCUCGGCUAACUACGUGCCAGCAGCCGCGGUAACACGUAGGAGGCAAGCGUUAUCCGGAUUUACUGGGCGUAAAGCGCGUGCAGGUGGUUUGGUAAGUUGGAUGUGAAAUCUCCCGGCUCAACUGGGAGAGGUCGUUCAAAACUGCUAAACUAGAGGACGGUAGAGGAAAGUGGAAUUCCCGGUGUAGUGGUGAAAUGCGUAGAUAUCGGGAGGAACACCAGUGGCGAAAGCGACUUUCUGGCCCGUUCCUGACACUAAGACGCGAAAGCUAGGGUAGCAAACGGGAUUAGAGACCCCGGUAGUCCUAGCCGUAAACGAUGUCAACUAGGCGUUGGUGGGUUAAUAGCCAUCAGUGCCGCAGCUAACGCGAUAAGUUGACCGCCUGGGGACUACGAUCGCAAGAUUA
Molecule: ribosomal RNA, 528 nt
Filed under: uncultured Chloroflexota bacterium
Lineage: Bacteria; Bacillati; Chloroflexota
Description: bacterial SSU rRNA
Rfam family: Bacterial small subunit ribosomal RNA
Source: RNAcentral